Molecule: ribosomal RNA, 492 nt
Filed under: uncultured bacterium
Lineage: Bacteria
Description: partial 16S ribosomal RNA
Rfam family: Bacterial small subunit ribosomal RNA
Source: RNAcentral
GAUGAACGCUAGCUACAGGCUUAACACAUGCAAGUCGAGGGGCAGCGGUAUCGAAAGCUUGCUUUCGGUAGCCGGCGACCGGCGCACGGGUGAGUAACGCGUAUCGAACCUGCCUCAUACUCGGGAAUAGCCUUGCGAAAGUAAGAUUAAUGCACGGUGUUUUCAGCGUCCCGCAUGAGGCUUUGAACAAAGAUUUAUCGGUAUGAGAUGGCGAUGCGUCCCAUUAGCUUGUUGGCGGGGUAACGGCCCACCAAGGCAACGAUGGGUAGGGGUCCUGAGAGGAAGGUCCCCCACAUUGGAACCGAGACACGGUCCAAACUCCUACGGGAGGCAGCAGUGAGGAAUAUUGGGCAAUGGGCGGAAGCCUGAACCAGCCAAGUAGCGUGCAGGAAGACGGCCCUCCGGGUUGUAAACUGCUUUGAGUGGGGAAUAAAACGGGGCUCGUGAGCCCCCUUGCAUGUACCAUCAGAAAGAGGACCGGCUAAUUCCGUG